GGGGCUGCACUGGUUUCGACGGGGAGUUCAAAGUUUAAAAUGCAUGUCGUGCCUGAAUGAUGCACGUAAAUCUUUAUUUCACUUUUGUUAUAGUUGCAAACGACGAUAACUACGCUCUAGCGGCUUAAUCCCGCUAGUGCAGGCUAGACCCGUUGCCUUUGGCCCCUAGCCUGUAUCGACUUACAAAGGAUCGUGUUGCGUGCGUGUUUGGGUACGUACCACUAAACUUAACAAACUCGCUUGGUGUGAUCCCUGCUGGUCGGGCAGCAUUCAAGUUAAAUUAAUAGACCAAAUAAACAUGUAGAUUUUUAGAUGGCGGCUUUGCGGACGGGGGUUCGACUCCCCCCAGCUCCACCA
This 357-nucleotide transfer-messenger RNA is filed under the name Thiomicrorhabdus sp. 6S3-12. It matches the Rfam family "transfer-messenger RNA". Rfam says of the family: Bacterial tmRNA, also known as 10Sa RNA or SsrA, is named for its dual tRNA and mRNA-like properties. Its role is to liberate the mRNA from a stalled ribosome. Lineage: Bacteria; Pseudomonadati; Pseudomonadota; Gammaproteobacteria; Thiotrichales; Piscirickettsiaceae. RNAcentral also lists the same sequence under 2 other names. The record is from RNAcentral.